AGAAUGUUGUACGGAAGACACAAGACCUGAGACUUGUGUUAUUCUAGCAGCUGAACUGACCCCAGCCUCUUCUGAGCGGCCGUGGCGCCGGAAGCAGUCUGGCCUACAGAAUUAUGGAUUCAUUAACAGAUCCUACUGUAUGCUCUGACAGCUAUGACCACAAUGGUCCACCCACAAAUGAAUUAUCAGGCACGAACCCGGAGGCACGUAUCCAUGAAAGUCCACAGACAAAUGAAUUUAAAGGAGCAACCGAGGAGACACUUACGAAUGAUAUCCCACACAGCAGUGAAUGUAAAGGAGCAGCCCUGGUGUCACCUAUCAGUAAAAGGAGGCUACUGCCCCAAAGAUAAACCCACCAUCAGAUUGUAUGGAGGCCCUGCCUUGGGUCUGUAG
Molecule: long non-coding RNA, 393 nt
Filed under: Macaca mulatta (Rhesus monkey)
Lineage: Eukaryota; Metazoa; Chordata; Mammalia; Primates; Cercopithecidae
Description: lncRNA (ENSMMUG00000063563.1)
Source: RNAcentral